CGUACUCAGUUCGGAUUGUAGUCUGCAACUCGACUACAUGAAGCUGGAAUCGCUAGUAAUCGCGCAUCAGCCACGGCGCGGUGAAUACGUUCCCGGGCCUUGUACACACCGCCCGUCAAGCCAUGGAAGCCGGGAGUGCCUGAAGUGCGUGAGCGCAAGCAGCGCCCUAAGGUAAAACCGGUGACUGGGGCUAAGUCGUAACAAGGUAGC
RNAcentral lists this ribosomal RNA (210 nucleotides) under uncultured bacterium. Its description in RNAcentral is "partial 16S ribosomal RNA". It matches the Rfam family "Bacterial small subunit ribosomal RNA", at positions 1283 to 1500 of the family's 1533-position model. The record is from RNAcentral.